Rosa chinensis is the source of this 540-nucleotide long non-coding RNA. RefSeq lists it as uncharacterized. Lineage: Eukaryota; Viridiplantae; Streptophyta; Magnoliopsida; Rosales; Rosaceae. The record is from RefSeq and is a predicted model, not a curated record. The transcript has 2 exons.
CAGAACAGAUCGCAACUUUGAUCCAAAAAAAAAAAAAAGAUCAGAUCGCGACCUACUUUGAUAGCAGAACGCAGCGCAGCCAAGGAAGAGUGGAAAGACGAGUGUGUGGGUGCGUUGCUUGGCUGGUGGAUCGACUAGGUUAGGUAAGAUCCAAGAAGAAAAUGAGAAAACUUGCUGCAUUACUUAGGGAUGAAGAUCAUGAGAUAGAAGACCUUACUUUGCCUUCCCAUACUGAUGCAGCAUUGGACAUUGAUGAUUGUGAUGAUAUUCAUGUGGGUGUGGAUGGAUAUGAUGAUUAUGAAUUGGAAGAAUGAAGUGCAGUUGUUAUUUUCGAAUUAAUUUAGUAUGAACCUAUGUAUUAUUGAAUUUAAUGUUAUGGGAGUGCUUAUUUAGAACCUUAUUUAAGUAUAUUCAUAUUAUUUAUAAAUGUAAUGUAUUAUUAUAAUAAUUACGGGAAAGGCUUCGCCUCAAUGCCUUGAGGCACUCGCCUCGCGAGGCUAUAGUCGGUCGCCUUCGCCUUCGCUUUCGCAUUUGAAAACA